UGGCUGUCGUCAGCUCGUGCCGUGAGGUGUCGGAUUAAGUUGCAUAACGAGCGCAACCCCUAUUUCUAGUUGCCAGCGAGUAAUGUCGGGGACUCUAGAGAAACUGCCCGCGUAAGCGGUGAGGAAGGUGGGGACGACGUCAAGUCAUCACGGCCCUUACGUCCAGGGCGACACACGUGCUACAAUGGUAGGGACAGUGAGUUGCAAGCCGGUAACGGUGAGCUAAUCUACGAACCCUAUCUCAGUUCGGAUCGAGGUCUGCAACCCGACCUCGUGAAGCUGGAAUCGCUAGUAAUCGCACAUCAGCCAUGAUGCGGUGAAUACGUUCCCGGGCCUUGUACACACCGCCCGUCAAGCCAUGGAAGUUGGGGGUGCAUAAAGUCGUACCGUAAG
Molecule: ribosomal RNA, 393 nt
Filed under: uncultured Bacteroidota bacterium
Lineage: Bacteria; Pseudomonadati; Bacteroidota
Description: bacterial SSU rRNA
Rfam family: Bacterial small subunit ribosomal RNA
Source: RNAcentral